RNAcentral lists this ribosomal RNA (506 nucleotides) under uncultured bacterium. RNAcentral's name for it is "partial 16S ribosomal RNA". It matches the Rfam family "Bacterial small subunit ribosomal RNA", at positions 29 to 523 of the family's 1533-position model. The record is from RNAcentral.
AGUGAACGCUGGCGGUAGGCCUAACACAUGCAAGUCGAACGGCAGCACAGGAGAGCUUGCUCUCUGGGUGGCGAGUGGCGGACGGGUGAGGAAUACAUCGGAAUCUACUUUUUCGUGGGGGAUAACGUAGGGAAACUUACGAUAAUACCGCAUACGACCUACGGGUGAAAGCAGGGGACCUUCGGGCCUUGCGCGAUUGAAUGAGCCGAUGUCGGAUUAGCUAGUUGGCGGGGUAAAGGCCCACCAAGGCGACGAUCCGUAGCUGGUCUGAGAGGAUGAUCAGCCACACUGGAACUGAGACACGGUCCAGACUCCUACGGGAGGCAGCAGUGGGGAAUAUUGGACAAUGGGCGCAAGCCUGAUCCAGCCAUACCGCGUGGGUGAAGAAGGCCUUCGGGUCGUAAUGCCCUUUUGUUGGGAAAGAAAUCCAGCUGGCUAAUACCCGGUUGGGAUGACGGUACCCAAAGAAUAAGCACCGGCUAACUUCGUGCCAGCCGCCGCCGUAA